GACGAACGCUGGCGGCGUGCUUAACACAUGCAAGUCGAACGAAGAGCGAUGGAAGCUUGCUUCUAUCAAUCUUAGUGGCGAACGGGUGAGUAACGCGUAAUCAACCUGCCCUUCAGAGGGGGACAACAGUUGGAAACGACUGCUAAUACCGCAUACGAUCUAAUCUCGGCAUCGAGGAUAGAUGAAAGGUGGCCUCUACAUGUAAGCUAUCACUGAAGGAGGGGAUUGCGUCUGAUUAGCUAGUUGGAGGGGUAACGGCCCACCAAGGCGAUGAUCAGUAGCCGGUCUGAGAGGAUGAACGGCCACAUUGGGACUGAGACACGGCCCAGACUCCUACGGGAGGCAGCAGUGGGGAAUCUUCCGCAAGGGACGAAAGUCUGACGGAGCAACGCCGCGGGAGUGAUGACGGCCUUCGGGUUGUAAAGCUCUGUUAAUCGGGACGAAAGGCCUUCUUGCGAAUAGUGAGAAGGAUUGACGGUACCGGAAGAGAAAGCCACGGCUAACUACGUG
RNAcentral lists this ribosomal RNA (510 nucleotides) under uncultured bacterium. Its description in RNAcentral is "partial 16S ribosomal RNA". It matches the Rfam family "Bacterial small subunit ribosomal RNA", at positions 28 to 507 of the family's 1533-position model. The record is from RNAcentral.